This 406-nucleotide ribosomal RNA is filed under the name uncultured bacterium. RNAcentral describes it as "partial 16S ribosomal RNA". It matches the Rfam family "Bacterial small subunit ribosomal RNA", at positions 30 to 526 of the family's 1533-position model. The record is from RNAcentral.
AUUGAACGCUGGCGGCGGGCCUAACACAUGCAAGUCGAACGAGUGGCGGACGGGUGAGUGAUGGCUGGGCAACGGCCUGCUGGAGGGGGAUAACUGCUGGAAACUGUAGCUAAUACCGCAUACCAUCAGAUGUGCCCAAAUGGGAUUAGCUUGUUGGUGGGGUAACGGCUCACCAAGGCGACGAUCCCUAGCUGGUCUGAGAGGCUGACCAGCCACACUGGAACUGAGACACGGUCCAGACUCCUACGGGAGGCAGCAGUGGGGAAUAUUGCACAAUGGGCGCAAGCCUGAUGCAGCCAUGCCGCGUGGAUGAAGAAGGCCUUCGGGUUGUAAAGUACUUUCAGCGGGGAGGCGUUACCCGCAGAAGAAGCACCGGCUAACUCCGUGCCAGCAGCCGCGGUAAUAC